This 316-nucleotide unclassified non-coding RNA is filed under the name uncultured Thelephoraceae. Its description in RNAcentral is "sequence contains 5.8S rRNA gene". Lineage: Eukaryota; Fungi; Basidiomycota; Agaricomycetes; Thelephorales; Thelephoraceae. The record is from RNAcentral.
GAACGCACCUUGCGCCCUUUGGCUAUUCUGAAGGGCAUGCCUGUUUGAGUAUCAUGAACACCUCAACUCUCAUGGUCCGCCAUGAUGAGCUUGGACUAUGGGGGUCUUGCCGGCCUAGCGUCGGCUCCUCUCAAACGAAUCAGCUUGCCAGUGUUUGGCGGCAUCACAGGUGUGAUAACUAUCUGCGCUUGUGGUUUCCCGCUAGAUAACCUUCAGCGAUGGAGGUUCGCUGGAGCUCAUAAAUGUCUCUCCUCAGCGAGGACAGCACUUUGACUGUUUGAUCUCAAAUCAGGUAGGACUACCCGCUGAACUUAAG